Molecule: ribosomal RNA, 109 nt
Filed under: Acetobacter peroxydans NBRC 13755
Lineage: Bacteria; Pseudomonadati; Pseudomonadota; Alphaproteobacteria; Acetobacterales; Acetobacteraceae
Description: 16S ribosomal RNA
Rfam family: Bacterial small subunit ribosomal RNA
Source: RNAcentral
AGUUGGUUUGACCUUAAGCCGGUGAGCGAACCGCAAGGACGCAGCCGACCACGGUCGGGUCAGCGACUGGGGUGAAGUCGUAACAAGGUAGCCGUAGGGGAACCUGCGG